UCGAACGGUAAGGCCCCUUCGGGGGUACACGAGUGGCGAACGGGUGAGUAACACGUGAGCAACCUGCCCUUGACUCUGGGAUAACAGUUGGAAACAGCUGCUAAUACCGGAUAUGACCCUCGAUGACAUCAUCUGGGGUGGAAAGCGCUUUAGCGGUCAAGGAUGGGCUCGCGGCCUAUCAGCUUGUUGGUGAGGUAACGGCUCACCAAGGCUUCGACGGGUAGCCGGCCUGAGAGGGCGACCGGCCACACUGGGACUGAGAUACGGCCCAGACUCCUACGGGAGGCAGCAGUGGGGAAUAUUGCACAAUGGGCGCAAGCCUGAUGCAGCAACGCCGCGUGCGGGAUGACGGCCUUCGGGUUGUAAACCGCUUUCAGUUCCGACGAAGCGCAAGCGACGGUAGGAACAGAAGAAGGACCGGCCAACUACGUGCCAGCAGCCGCGGUGAUACGUAGGGUCCGAGCGUUG
RNAcentral lists this ribosomal RNA (468 nucleotides) under uncultured bacterium. RNAcentral's name for it is "bacterial SSU rRNA". It matches the Rfam family "Bacterial small subunit ribosomal RNA", at positions 62 to 543 of the family's 1533-position model. The record is from RNAcentral.